GGAUUAGAUACCCUGGUAGUCCACGCCGUAAACGAUGCAUACUAGGUGUUGGCCCUGUUGGGUCAGUGCUGCAGUUAACGCAUUAAGUAUGCCACCUGGGGAGUACGUCGGCAACGAUGAAACUCAAAGGAAUUGACGGGGGCCCGCACAAGCGGUGGAGCAUGUGGCUUAAUUCGAUGCAACGCGAGGAACCUUACCUGGGCUAAAUUUGCCGUGCUAUCUCUGGAAACAGGGAGUCCCUUCGGGGCGCGGUAGAAGGUGCUGCAUGGCUGUCGUCAGCUCGUGCCG
Molecule: ribosomal RNA, 288 nt
Filed under: uncultured bacterium
Lineage: Bacteria
Description: partial 16S ribosomal RNA
Rfam family: Bacterial small subunit ribosomal RNA
Source: RNAcentral